Oryzias melastigma (Indian medaka) is the source of this 673-nucleotide long non-coding RNA. RefSeq lists it as uncharacterized. NCBI's taxonomy places the organism in Eukaryota, Metazoa, Chordata, Actinopteri, Beloniformes, Adrianichthyidae. The transcript has 2 exons. The record is from RefSeq and is a predicted model, not a curated record.
AUCGUGCGGCGCAGACGCGCUGAUGGGGAGCGCAAACAUCAAAGUCUGCAGACGCGGUUCUCUCGCAGACGCUUCGCGCGGCUGAGCACGUUCUGGGAGGACAUCACGUUACAAGUUUCCUCCUCUGAAUUACCGGUGCUGUGGGGACCAGUGCUGCUGCUGCUGCUGCUGCUGCUGCUGCUGCUGCUGCUGCUGCCGUCUGCUGGAGCCACCAUGUCAGGCCUGACACAAAGAAAGCAUGCCAGACAGCAGAGGCCUUAUAUGCAGCAGGACACUAAUUGGACUGAACCACUGCCCGGGGAAGGAGAAACUCUUUUUGUGUUAAACAUUGAUUCAGUUUACAUUUUACUGUAUGUCUAUUAGCUGUACUAUUUUUCUAUGUUAGUUUACUUUAGGAUGGACAAGUUAAUUUUGUGUUUGCUGUAUUUCUGUUGUCUUAGUUUUUUUCAGUUCCCCCUUGUGUGUCUAGUUGGUCUGAUCAGCCACUAUAUAUGCUCCCCUUGUGUUUCCAAUUAGGGAGGUCAGUUUAAGUUUGUUGCUCUGUCUGUUCAGUUGGUUGAUUUGUCCUCCUAUUUAAAGCUUCAGUUACUUUUGUUGCUUUGACCUCUUUUAAGGGCCCAUUUUUCUUCACUGAGAUCUUUUUUGAAAAUAAAUGUAAAUAUUUUUUCAUAUA